Marmota flaviventris (yellow-bellied marmot) is the source of this 714-nucleotide non-coding RNA. The record is from RefSeq and is a predicted model, not a curated record. Lineage: Eukaryota; Metazoa; Chordata; Mammalia; Rodentia; Sciuridae.
AUGGCCACACUGGGGGAGCCGCAGAUGCAGUACAAGUUCCUGCUGGUGGGUGACAGCAGCACAGGGAAGAAGAUGUUCGUGAAGCACCACCUGACCAGCAAGUUCGAGAAGAAGUAUAUAGCCACGCUGGGCAGGGAGUUUCCAUACCAACAGAGGGCCCAUCAAGUUCAACGUCUGGGACACGGUGGGCCAGAAGUUCAGCGGCCUGAAGGAUGGCUACUACAUCCAAGCCCAGUGUGCCGUUAUCAUGUUUGAUGUGAUGUCAAGAGUUACUUACAGGAACGUGCCUAACUGGCAUAGAGAUUUUGUAGAGUAUGUGAAAACAUCCCCAUCAUGUUGUGUGGCAACAAAGUGGACAUUAAGGACAGGAAAGUGAAGGCAAAAUCUGUUGUCUUCCAGGGAAAGAAGAAUCUUCAGCACUAUGACAUCUCAGCCAAAAGUAACUCCAACUUUGAAAAGCCCUUCCUCUGGCUCGCUAGAAAGCUCACUGGAGACUCUGACUUGGAGUUUGUUGCCAUGCCUGCUCUUGCCCUACAAGAGGUUGGCAUGGACCCCGCUUUGUCAGCACAAUAUGAGCAUGAUUUAGAGGUUGCUCAGACAACUGCUCUACCAGACAAGGACGAUGACCUGGGAGGAGAUGAAGCUGAAGCCCCGCGUCAGAAGUCUAGUUUUAUAGGCAACUGUCAGUGUGAUGCAUGUGUGCCACUUUACUAA